UCUGAAGAAACCAAAAUUGCUAGUCACAUCUAAAAAAUCUUGGUCUGUGUUUUUGGCCUUUACUUUAACCAGCAAAUCAAUCUUUCCACGGGUUCCAAUGCUGACUUGAGUGCUGCUUUACUUCUUUUCAGAACAACUUGCUAAGCUGCUCAGUGCUCCAGAGAUGUGAUUGUGGGCUGGCAGUCCUCCAGUAUGGUUAGAAGCUUUGAUUCUCAUCAGGAAGCACUUAUUAUUCAAUAGCAAUGUUCUGGGUCAGUUUAAGAAUAACCUUAAAGAGGGCAUUUUUCUACUUCAAGUCUCCACAUCCUUAUAAUUAAAAGCUCUUUCUAAAAUGUC
Dermochelys coriacea (leatherback sea turtle) is the source of this 336-nucleotide long non-coding RNA. RefSeq lists it as uncharacterized. Lineage: Eukaryota; Metazoa; Chordata; Testudines; Dermochelyidae. The transcript has 2 exons. The record is from RefSeq and is a predicted model, not a curated record.